Molecule: transfer RNA, 64 nt
Filed under: Dipodomys ordii (Ord's kangaroo rat)
Lineage: Eukaryota; Metazoa; Chordata; Mammalia; Rodentia; Heteromyidae
Rfam family: tRNA
About the family: Transfer RNA (tRNA) molecules are approximately 80 nucleotides in length.
Source: Rfam by way of RNAcentral
GGGAAGUUGGCUCAAUGGUAGAGUGCUUGCCUCAUAUGCAUGAGGCACUGGGUUCGAUUUCUCA